This 1940-nucleotide ribosomal RNA is filed under the name human gut metagenome. RNAcentral's name for it is "bacterial LSU rRNA". It matches the Rfam family "Bacterial large subunit ribosomal RNA", at positions 3 to 1985 of the family's 2925-position model. The record is from RNAcentral.
UCAAGCGACUAAGUGUAUGUGGUGGAUGCCUUGGCGAUCACAGGCGAUGAAGGACGUGACAGCCUGCGAAAAGCUGUGGGGAGCUGGCAAAUAAGCUUUGAUCCACAGAUGUCCGAAUGAGGGAACUCACCUGCUUUGCAGGUAUCCCAUCCUGAAUAUAUAGGGAUGGGAGGCGAACGAAGCGAACUGAAACAUCUAAGUAGCUUCAGGAAAAGAAAUCAACCGAGAUUCCGAAAGUAGCGGCGAGCGAAAUCGGAUCAGCCCAGCACUCGAUAGCAGCCAACUUACGGGAACGGUCUGGAAAGUCCGGCCAUAGAGGGUGAUAGCCCCUUACUGGAAAAGGCAGCUGUGGUACUAAGUGUGCGAUAAGUAGAGCGGGACACGUGACAUCCUGCUCGAAGAUGGGGGGACCAUCCUCCAAGGCUAAAUACUCGUGAUCGACCGAUAGCGUACCAGUACUGUGAAGGAAAGGUUAAAAGAACCCCGGGAGGGGAGUGAAAUAGAUCCUGAAACCGCAUACAUACAAACAGUAGGAGCCUCGUUAAGGGGUGACUGCGUACCUUUUGCAUAAUGGGUCAGCGACUUACGUUUAAUGGCGAGCUUAACCGUAUAGGGGAGGCGCAGCGAAAGCGAGUUCGAACAGAGCGUUCAGUCGUUAGGCGUAGACCCGAAACCAGAUGAUCUAUCCAUGGCCAGGUUGAAGGUGUGGUAACACACACUGGAGGACCGAACCGACUAGUGUUGCAAAAUUAGCGGAUGAGCUGUGGAUAGGGGUGAAAGGCUAAACAAAUCUGGAGAUAGCUGGUUCUCCCCGAAAACUAUUGAGGUAGUGCCUCGUGUGUCGCUCCAGGGGGUAGAGCACUGUUUUGGCUAGGGGGACAUGGAGUCUUACCAAACCAAGGCAAACUCCGAAUACCUGGAAGCGUGAGCACGGGAGACAGAGCACCGGGUGCUAACGUCCGGACUCAAAAGGGAAACAACCCAGACCGCCGGCUAAGGUCCCAAAUAACAGCUAAGUGGAAAACGAAGUGGAAAGGCCGUGACAACCAGGAAGUUGGCUUAGAAGCAGCCAUCCUUCAAAGAAAGCGUAAUAGCUCACUGGUCGAGUCCUUCUGCGCGGAAGAUGUAACGGGGCUAAGCUGUUAACCGAAGCCGCGGAUGCACUGGUUAUCCAGUGCGUGGUAGGGGAGCGUUCUGUAAGUCUGCGAAGGCGGUUCGAGAGGACUGCUGGAGAUAUCAGAAGUGCGAAUGCUGACAUGAGUAACGUUAAAGCAGGUGAAAAGCCUGCUCGCCGUAAGCCCAAGGAUUCCUGCUCUACGUUCAUCGGAGCAGGGUGAGUCGGCUCCUAAGGUCAGGCCGAAAGGCGUAGCCGAUGGGAAUCAGGUUAAUAUUCCUGAACCUGCGUCAGAUGCGAUGGGGGGACGGAGCAUGGAAGAUCAUCCGGGUGUUGGAAGUCCCGGUUGUUUAGCGUAGGAGGUCUGCAGGCAAAUCCGCAGACGCAUCUCCAAGGCAAAGACACGUGCCGCCACGGCGGCGAAGUGAUCGGAAGUGCUUCCAAGAAAAGCCUCUAAGCCCCAGUCUGAUGCGGACCGUACCGCAAACCGACACUGGUGGGCGAGCUGAAUAUGCUCAGGCGCUUGAGAGAACUCGGGAGAAGGAACUCGGCAAAUUGACACCGUAACUUCGGAAGAAGGUGUGCCGUAGUACCGUGAGAGGAGAGACACCUUGAGCGGGAAACGGUCUCAGAGAAUAGGUGGCUGCGACUGUUUAUUAAAAACACAGCACUCUGCAAAGUCGAAAGACGACGUAUAGGGUGUGAUGCCUGCCCGGUGCUGGAAGAUUAAUUGAUGGGGUGAGAGCCCUUGAUCGAAGUCCCAGUAAACGGCGGCCGUAACUAUAACGGUCCUAAGGUAGCGAAAUUCCUUGUCGGGUAAGUUCCG